This 73-nucleotide transfer RNA is filed under the name Bos taurus (domestic cattle). It matches the Rfam family "tRNA". Rfam says of the family: Transfer RNA (tRNA) molecules are approximately 80 nucleotides in length. Lineage: Eukaryota; Metazoa; Chordata; Mammalia; Artiodactyla; Bovidae. The record is from Rfam by way of RNAcentral. RNAcentral also lists the same sequence under 3 other names.
UCCCUGGUGAUCCAGUCGCUAAGACUCUGCGUUCCUAAGGCAGAAGACCCAGGUUUGAUCCCUGGUCAGGAAA